This 120-nucleotide ribosomal RNA is filed under the name uncultured bacterium. Its description in RNAcentral is "partial 16S ribosomal RNA". It matches the Rfam family "Bacterial small subunit ribosomal RNA", at positions 215 to 334 of the family's 1533-position model. The record is from RNAcentral.
GCGCGAUUGGAUGAGCCCAUGUCGGAUUAGCUAGUUGGCGGGGUAAAGGCCCACCAAGGCGACGAUCCGUAGCUGGUCUGAGAGGAUGAUCAGCCACACUGGAACUGAGACACGGUCCAG